Molecule: ribosomal RNA, 279 nt
Filed under: uncultured bacterium
Lineage: Bacteria
Description: partial 16S ribosomal RNA
Rfam family: Bacterial small subunit ribosomal RNA
Source: RNAcentral
UGCCAGCCGCCGCGGUAACACGGAGGGUGCGAGCGUUAAUCGGAAUCACUGGGCGUAAAGCGUACGUAGGUGGCAAAGUCAGUCAGGCGUGAAAGCCCUCGGCUCAACCGAGGAAUUGCGUUUGAUACUACUUUGCUAGAGUCUCGGAGAGGUUGGCGGAAUUCCAGGUGUAGGAGUGAAAUCCGUAGAUAUCUGGAGGAACACCAGUGGCGAAAGCGGCUCACUGGGACAGAUUCGACGGUCAGAUACGAAAGCGUGGGGAGCAAAACGGAUUAGAUA